This 253-nucleotide ribosomal RNA is filed under the name uncultured bacterium. Its description in RNAcentral is "partial 16S ribosomal RNA". It matches the Rfam family "Bacterial small subunit ribosomal RNA", at positions 524 to 776 of the family's 1533-position model. The record is from RNAcentral.
UACGUAGGGACCGAGCGUUGUCCGGAAUCACUGGGCGUAAAGGGCGCGUAGGCGGCCUGGUAAGUAGGGGGUGAAAUCCUGCGGCUUAACCGCAGGGCUGCCUUCUAAACUGUCAGGCUUGAGCACGGUAGAGGCAGAUGGAAUUCCCGGUGUAGCGGUGGAAUGCGUAGAGAUCGGGAAGAACAUCAGUGGCGAAGGCGGUCUGCUGGGCCGUUGCUGACGCUGAGGCGCGACAGCGUGGGGAGCAAACAGG